Molecule: microRNA precursor, 106 nt
Filed under: Podarcis lilfordi (Lilford's wall lizard)
Lineage: Eukaryota; Metazoa; Chordata; Lepidosauria; Squamata; Lacertidae
Source: RNAcentral
UAGAGACCACCUAAGUUUGUUCUGGGUAUAAGCUUUUGUGUGCAUGUACACUUCUUCAGAUAUGCACACGAAAGCUUAUACCCAGAACAAACUUAGUUGGUCUCUA